Molecule: long non-coding RNA, 352 nt
Filed under: Bos taurus (domestic cattle)
Lineage: Eukaryota; Metazoa; Chordata; Mammalia; Artiodactyla; Bovidae
Description: long non-coding RNA NONBTAT000195
Source: RNAcentral
AGCAUGUCAUCUAUAACUGAGGCUCUGACAAGAGGGGUUGUCAGGAUUUGCCUUAAUGGGGAAGUGAUUGACCUUUGCUCGUAAUUAUCAAAACAAGGGGAAGGAAAGUGACUUGUGAGGCAGCUGCCACUUCAUCUGCUUUCCAACUUCAGAGAAAGCAGGAAAGAGAGGUCUCUUUAAAUCUGAGUGCAGAAGACACAGCCCACAUGAACACAAAGCUUUACUAUAAACUGGGAAUCUGAAGUAAUACAUACCCUCUGAAGAAGUAUUCUGUUGUGAGGAUAUGCUGAUCUGUAUAGUUAGGAACUGUUACCUUAUUGAACUGGUUUCAUAUCUGCAUUACAUACGACAC